Molecule: ribosomal RNA, 688 nt
Filed under: uncultured Acidobacteriota bacterium
Lineage: Bacteria; Pseudomonadati; Acidobacteriota
Description: bacterial SSU rRNA
Rfam family: Bacterial small subunit ribosomal RNA
Source: RNAcentral
GUCGCGUGCGCGUUUCCGUAGCAAUACGGAAGUGGCGCACGGCGCACGGGUGCGUAACACGUGGGCAAUCUGCCCUCCGAUGGGGAAUAACCCCGCGAAAGCGGGGCUAAUACCGCAUAACAUUCCUUGGACUUUGGUUUGAGGAUUCAAAGCAGUAAUGCGUCGGAGGAGGAGCCCGCGCCCGAUUAGCUAGUUGGUGAGGUAACGGCUCACCAAGGCAAUGAUCGGUAGCUGGUCUGAGAGGAUGAUCAGCCACACUGGAACUGAGACACGGUCCAGACUCCUACGGGAGGCAGCAGUGGGGAAUCUUGCGCAAUGGGCGAAAGCCUGACGCAGCGACGCCGCGUGGGGGAUGAAGCUUCUCGGAGUGUAAACCCCUUUCGACUGGGACGAAUGCCCGCAAGGGAGUGACGGUACCAGUAGAAGAAGCCCCGGCUAACUACGUGCCAGCAGCCGCGGUAAGACGUAGGGGGCCAGCGUUGUUCGGAAUUACUGGGUGUAAAGGGUUCGUAGGCGGUGUGGCAAGUCGGGAGUGAAAUCUCUGGGCACAACUCAGAGGCUGCUUCCGAAACUGCUGUGCUUGAGUGUGGGAGAGGCGCGUGGAAUUGCAGGUGUAGCGGUGAAAUGCGUAGAUAUCUGCAGGAACACCCGUGGCGAAAGCGGCGCGCUGGACCACAACUGACGCUGA